Molecule: ribosomal RNA, 482 nt
Filed under: uncultured bacterium
Lineage: Bacteria
Description: bacterial SSU rRNA
Rfam family: Bacterial small subunit ribosomal RNA
Source: RNAcentral
AGAGUUGAUCAUGGCUCAGAACGAACGCUGCGGCAUGGAUUAGGCAUGCAAGUCGAACGAAGCAGCAAUGCUUAGUGGCGCAAGGGUGAGGAACACGUGAGUGACUUACCCGCAAGUUUGGAACAGCUCCUGGAAACGGGAAUUAAUACCGGAUGUGAUCAUAGGUCUGCAUGGAUUUAUGAUUAAGCAGCAAUGCGCUUGGCGGAUGGGCUCGCGUCCCAUUAGCUGGUUGGUGAGGUAACGGCCCACCAAGGCGAUGAUGGGUAGCUGGUCUGAGAGGACGACCAGCCACACUGGGACUGAGAACUGCCCAGACUCCUACGGGAGGCUGCAGUCGAGAAUUUUGGGCAAUGGACGAAAGUCUCGACCCAGCAAUGCCGCGUGCGGGAUGAAGGUCUUCGGAUUGUAAACCGCUGUUUGGAGGGACGAAAUUUGACGGUACCUCCAGAGAAAGCCACGGCUAACUACGUGCCAGCCGCCGC